This 244-nucleotide ribosomal RNA is filed under the name uncultured bacterium. RNAcentral describes it as "partial small subunit ribosomal RNA". It matches the Rfam family "Bacterial small subunit ribosomal RNA", at positions 26 to 285 of the family's 1533-position model. The record is from RNAcentral.
AGAAUCAACGCUGGCGGCGUGCCUAACACAUGCAAGUCGCACGAGAAAGUGGAGCAAUCCAUGAGUACAGUGGCGCACGGGUGAGUAACACGUGAAUAAUCUACCUCCGAGUGGGAAUAACUUCGGGAAACCGAGGCUAAUACCGCAUAACACUUACGAGUCAAAGCAGCAAUGCGCUUGGAGAGGAGUUCGCGGCAGAUUAGCUAGUUGGUGGGGUAAUGGCCCACCAAGGCGAUGAUCUGUA